This 608-nucleotide ribosomal RNA is filed under the name uncultured fungus. RNAcentral's name for it is "eukaryotic LSU rRNA". The stretch from base 234 to 387 matches the Rfam family "5.8S ribosomal RNA". The record is from RNAcentral. Lineage: Eukaryota; Fungi.
UGGAAGUAAAAGUCGUAACAAGGUUUCCGUAGGUGAACCUGCGGAAGGAUCAUUACCGAGUGCGGGCCCUCGUGGCCCAACCUCCCACCCUUGUCUCUAUACACCUGUUGCUUUGGCGGGCCCACCGGGGCCACCUGGUCGCCGGGGGACAUCUGUCCCCGGGCCCGCGCCCGCCGAAGCGCUCUGUGAACCCUGAUGAAGAUGGGCUGUCUGAGUACUAUGAAAAUUGUCAAAACUUUCAACAAUGGAUCUCUUGGUUCCGGCAUCGAUGAAGAACGCAGCGAAAUGCGAUAAGUAAUGUGAAUUGCAGAAUUCCGUGAAUCAUCGAAUCUUUGAACGCACAUUGCGCCCCCUGGCAUUCCGGGGGGCAUGCCUGUCCGAGCGUCAUUUCUGCCCUCAAGCACGGCUUGUGUGUUGGGUGCGGUCCCCCCGGGGACCUGCCCGAAAGGCAGCGGCGACGUCCGUCUGGUCCUCGAGCGUAUGGGGCUUUGUCACUCGCUCGGGAAGGACUGGCGGGGGUUGGUCACCACCAAAAUUUUACCACGGUUGACCUCGGAUCAGGUAGGAGUUACCCGCUGAACUUAAGCAUAUCAUAAGGCCGGAGAGAA